Molecule: transfer RNA, 66 nt
Filed under: Hirundo atrocaerulea
Lineage: Eukaryota; Metazoa; Chordata; Aves; Passeriformes; Hirundinidae
Description: tRNA-Cys
Source: RNAcentral
GGUCCCGUAGUGAAAUUCAUGGUGGGUUGCAAGCUCAUCGAUGUGCGUUGAUGUGCACCGGGACUU